UACGUAGGGUGCGAGCGUUGUCCGGAAUUAUUGGGCGUAAAGAGCUCGUAGGCGGUGUGUCACGUCGGCCGUGAAAACCUGCAGCUUAACUGUGGCGUGCGGUCGAUACGGGCAUCACUGGAGUUCGGCAGGGGAGACUGGAAUUCCUGGUGUAGCGGUGAAAUGCGCAGAUAUCAGGAGGAACACCGGUGGCGAAGGCGGGUCUCUGGGCCGAUACUGACGCUGAGGAGCGAAAGCGUGGGGAGCAAACAGG
This 253-nucleotide ribosomal RNA is filed under the name uncultured bacterium. Its description in RNAcentral is "partial 16S ribosomal RNA". It matches the Rfam family "Bacterial small subunit ribosomal RNA", at positions 524 to 776 of the family's 1533-position model. The record is from RNAcentral.